CUGUUUAUUUAUGGUGAAUUUUCUUUUAGUCAUGAUAAAUCUAUAUUAACUGCUCAGAAUCUUUAAUUUUUACUAGACGGCUAUAUCACAAUCCUAUUCGUAUAGGAAACAUUAAGAGUUGGACAUACAGGUUGAUA
Molecule: non-coding RNA, 137 nt
Organism: Populus trichocarpa (black cottonwood)
Lineage: Eukaryota; Viridiplantae; Streptophyta; Magnoliopsida; Malpighiales; Salicaceae
Source: Rfam